GUGCCAGCCGCCGCGGUAAAACGUAGGAGGCGAGCGUUAUCCGGAUUUACUGGGUGUAAAGCGCGUGCAGGCGGAUCGGAAAGUUGGAUGUGAAAGCUCCCGGCUUAACUGGGAGAGGUCGUCCAAAACUACCUGUCUUGAGUAUAGUAGAGGGAAGUGGAAUUUCGGGUGUAGUGGUGAAAUGCGUAGAUAUCUGUAGGAACACCAGAGGCGAAAGAGACUUUCUGGAC
RNAcentral lists this ribosomal RNA (230 nucleotides) under uncultured bacterium. RNAcentral's name for it is "partial 16S rRNA". It matches the Rfam family "Bacterial small subunit ribosomal RNA", at positions 505 to 734 of the family's 1533-position model. The record is from RNAcentral.